UAUGUCCUGCUCUACCCUGACACGACACCAGUCGUCAACAUUCCCGGGACAGAUAUGCCUUUCUUACUGCAACUUUAUAAAGAUGCAGUGGGGAAGGGAUAUCAAAGACUCACCCUCUAUAUAUGUGCAUCGGAAGACUUCCUUUCAUGAGUAUUUGUGAUGCACACCACACUACUCUGUGAAGUGCUCCUGACCUUCAGGAGGAACAAGGAUCAACUGGAGGUCAACCUGGGAAGAGGAUACUUGAAGCUGUUGCUGCCACUGAAAAGCGCAACCCUGUUAAAGGACUCGAGCUGGAAGUCAAGUGUGCCGAUCUUGGCAGACCUGUGCCACUGUGAGGUGUUGAGUGCGUCUUGGGAGAGCUGACAUCUCUUCACAGCAAGAACCUUGAUUGGUGCAGAGCUGAAGCAUCACACAUAAAGGAGUGCACAAUCACCUUUAGAGGUUUACCUCUGGUCACUCAAUAGACUUCUGAAAAAAAUAUGGGGAUUUGGAAUUAUCCCACCUGCAGGGACGACAAAAUCGGAAAUUCAAAUGUUUUGUUCUACACACUUUUGUCCUCUGUCUGAGUGGAUACUGUAAUCUCCGGUAUGAGAAGUAGACCAUAGUUCCCUCAUCUGAUUCAUAACAUCCUCUCUUUUGACAUCCUCUUGACAACAUAACCAUACCAGAGUGAUAGAGAAACCAUACUAGUGGUAGUAGACCAUAGUAGGCAUCUUGACACACACACCACCCUGUCUGCAGUUGAAAGUCGUUGUAUUUUGACUUGUUUACAGUUCUUGAAGUGC
Alosa sapidissima (American shad) is the source of this 788-nucleotide long non-coding RNA. RefSeq lists it as uncharacterized. The record is from RefSeq and is a predicted model, not a curated record. The transcript has 3 exons. NCBI's taxonomy places the organism in Eukaryota, Metazoa, Chordata, Actinopteri, Clupeiformes, Clupeidae.